Molecule: long non-coding RNA, 306 nt
Filed under: Hordeum vulgare
Lineage: Eukaryota; Viridiplantae; Streptophyta; Magnoliopsida; Poales; Poaceae
Description: long non-coding RNA (HVUL_LNC018642)
Source: RNAcentral
AACGACAACGACAACGACAACGACAACGACAACGACAACGACAACGACAACAACAACAACAACAACAACAACAACAACCACCACCACCACAACAACAACGACAACCAUAAUAACAACAACAACCACGACCACAACCACGACCACCACAACCACCACAACCACAACCACAACCACGACCACGACAACGACAACGACAACGACAAUGACAACGACAACGACAACGACAACGACAACGACAACGACAACGACAACGACAACAACAACAACAACAACAACAACAACAACAACAACAACCACAACAACCAC